GGGGAAUAUUGCGCAAUGGGGGGAACCCUGACGCAGCAACGCCGCGUGGAGGACGAAGGCCUUCGGGUCGUAAACUCCUGUCUUCAGGGACGAUAAUGACGGUACCUGAGGAGGAAGCCACGGCUAACUACGUGCCAGCAGCCGCGGUAAUACGUAGGUGGCGAGCGUUGUCCGGAAUUACUGGGCGUAAAGGGUGCGUAGGCGGAAUCUUAAGUCAGAUGUGAAAAUCCAGGGCUCAACUUUGGAAUUGCAUUUGAAACUGAGGUUCUAGAGUGCAGGAGAGGGAAGCGGAAUUCCUAGUGUAGCGGUGAAAUGCGUAGAUAUUAGGAAGAACACCAGUUGCGAAGGCGGCUUUCUGGACUGUAACUGACGCUGAGGCACGAAAGCGUGGGGAGCAAAC
This 400-nucleotide ribosomal RNA is filed under the name uncultured bacterium. RNAcentral's name for it is "bacterial SSU rRNA". It matches the Rfam family "Bacterial small subunit ribosomal RNA", at positions 356 to 773 of the family's 1533-position model. The record is from RNAcentral.